RNAcentral lists this ribosomal RNA (779 nucleotides) under uncultured Mycobacterium sp. RNAcentral's name for it is "bacterial SSU rRNA". It matches the Rfam family "Bacterial small subunit ribosomal RNA", at positions 562 to 1340 of the family's 1533-position model. Lineage: Bacteria; Bacillati; Actinomycetota; Actinomycetes; Mycobacteriales; Mycobacteriaceae. The record is from RNAcentral.
AAAGAGCUCGUAGGUGGUUUGUCGCGUUGUUCGUGAAAUCUCACGGCUUAACUGUGAGCGUGCGGGCGAUACGGGCAGACUAGAGUACUGCAGGGGAGACUGGAAUUCCUGGUGUAGCGGUGGAAUGCGCAGAUAUCAGGAGGAACACCGGUGGCGAAGGCGGGUCUCUGGGCAGUAACUGACGCUGAGGAGCGAAAGCGUGGGGAGCGAACAGGAUUAGAUACCCUGGUAGUCCACGCCGUAAACGGUGGGUACUAGGUGUGGGUUUCCUUCCUUGGGAUCCGUGCCGUAGCUAACGCAUUAAGUACCCCGCCUGGGGAGUACGGCCGCAAGGCUAAAACUCAAUGGAAUUGACGGGGGCCCGCACAAGCGGCGGAGCAUGUGGAUUAAUUCGAUGCAACGCGAAGAACCUUACCUGGGUUUGACAUGCACAGGACGCCGGUAGAGAUAUCGGUUCCCUUGUGGCCUGUGUGCAGGUGGUGCAUGGCUGUCGUCAGCUCGUGUCGUGAGAUGUUGGGUUAAGUCCCGCAACGAGCGCAACCCUUGUCUCAUGUUGCCAGCGCGUUAUGGCGGGGACUCGUGAGAGACUGCCGGGGUCAACUCGGAGGAAGGUGGGGAUGACGUCAAGUCAUCAUGCCCCUUAUGUCCAGGGCUUCACACAUGCUACAAUGGCCGGUACAAAGGGCUGCGAUGCCGUGAGGCUUAGCGAAUCCUUGAAAGCCGGUCUCAGUUCGGAUCGGGGUCUGCAACUCGACCCCGUGAAGUCGGAGUCGCUAGUA